RNAcentral lists this ribosomal RNA (429 nucleotides) under Gemmatimonadota bacterium. RNAcentral describes it as "Gemmatimonadetes bacterium partial 16S ribosomal RNA". It matches the Rfam family "Bacterial small subunit ribosomal RNA", at positions 355 to 776 of the family's 1533-position model. Lineage: Bacteria; Pseudomonadati; Gemmatimonadota. The record is from RNAcentral.
UGGGGAAUCUUCGGCAAUGGACGAAAGUCUGACCGAGCAACGCCGCGUGAGUGAAGAAGGUUUUCGGAUCGUAAAACUCUGUUGUCAGAGAAGAACAAGGACGUUAGUAACUGAACGUCCCCUGACGGUAUCUAACCAGAAAGCCACGGCUAACUACGUGCCAGCAGCCGCGGUAAUACGUAGGGGGCAAGCGUUGUCCGGAUUUAUUGGGCGUAAAGCGAGCGCAGGCGGUUUCUUAAGUCUGAUGUGAAAGCCCCGGGCUCAACCGGGGAGGGUCAUUGGAAACUGCGGGGCUUGAGUGCGUGAGAGGGGAGUGGAAUUCCGUGUGUAGCGGUGAAAUGCGUAGAUAUAUGGAGGAACACCAGUGGCGAAGGCGGCUCUCUGGUCUGUAACUGACGCUGAGGCUCGAAAGCGUGGGGAGCAAACAGG